GUUACAUACUCGAUCUCCUUUCUUGCAGAUGUAUACUUAGGAAUCAUCUUCAAGCGAUAAAAUUAUAUUAAAUAUUUUUGAUUGAUAAUCAAAAAUAAUUCACUAAAGAAAAAUGUAAUAUAUCAUAAUACUAUAAAUUUCAAACUUUUAUUUUCCAAAUUUUACACAAUAUAAAGUCAUACAAUUUACAAUUAGAUGAAAAAAAGAAUAAUUGUAAUUGUAUUAAAUAAAUUAAAAUUAUCUUCAUUAUCUAUUAAAAACAUUAUCUAUUAAAAUCAAAAUUCAUAUUAUCAUAAAUUAGAAAAAUUUCCAAUAAUUAAAAUAAUUACCUUAGAAAAAUUAUUGCUUUAGAAAAUCAACUUCUGUUUUUUAAUUAAAAUUUCCAAAAUUGAUAAAAAUACUGCGACGUCUCGCAAAGCUCUCAAACAUAUUGAACAUCGCUGUCUGCUGUUCGUCAAAAGUCACGCACACGAGGAUACCAAGAAAAGGAUCUCCAUCUUCAAUGCACGAUCCAUUCUCGAAGAACACGCGCGAGAGGUUAGAUCGACUAAUUUAAACAUCCUACUUUUUGAAAACGGUGAAGUUGCGACCUUUUUGGCCAAUUAACACGGUGGGAUUGUGUAUUCAGUCGAUAGCACUCGAGCAACGGUAUCCAACGCGAAAAGCCACUUUUGGCUAGGGAUUUGUGUACGGGAUACACGCAGACGAUGUACACAUGGACAGGAGCGAGGCGUAUGCAGUGUGAAAACUCGAGGGCGCUCCGUGGCUCUAAAUUAAAGGCGCACGUCUGCGAAUUCUCCAGUCAGUCGUCGGAUUCCCGUGAAGAAACCGCAUCUCAUUUCGCUAUUUACUAUACCUAUCGAACGAGAGAGACAAAAAAGUUCGAAACGAGUCACGAGUGCAUCGAUGCCGGAUUGGUCAAUGUUUCACUCACGAGUGGAAACAGCUUCGUUCGUGUCCAUGUUCUAUUUUCGAUCAAGCAACGUUUCCUAUUCGCGCAUUCGUCACGUGUAGUUUUACAAUUGCGGUUGGUUACGGCCGUUGCUUUGGAGGAUGGGUGUAUUUGUCUUUGUGGCUUAUUUGUACAGUUGGAGUGGGGUUCGAGUGAUCUAUCCAAACUGAGAUAUCGGUGGAAUUAUAACCGGAUUCGAUCCAAGAUCGAAAGUGGUACAGUGAGAAAUAGCAUAUAAAAUUCAGAAAUUUGUUCUUUUGAUUAGGCGUUAGGUCUAGAACUUAAUUCGGUAGGACUUAAUUCAUUUUUUAGGUUAAAGGUUAUAAUUUUGAUUUAAAUAUUUCGUAAGAUGUGGAGAAUGUGGUAGAGUAAAGGUAUGAGAAUCUAUAGUAUUUUUAUAAAGAAACGUAGUUGGAACUAUGGAUAUGAUUUUGAAUAUGAUUGUUCCAUUAACAAACUAUUAAAAUCUAUUUUUCUUUUUCGUCGAGAAAAAUCUGUACUCAUUCACACAUAUAUAUAUUACUACUAAAGAUCAACCAAUUGAUAUUUCUAAAAAUUCCAAAUUACAAUUCACCAUCUCUCAUACUUGUAAAUCAAAGAAUGACAGAAGGUUGGCAUGUUAGAAUUGGAGUUGAAAAUUAGAAUGAGAAAACCGAGGAGGAAUGAAUCAAUUAGAGCCAGUUUCCUCUCCUCGCCAUCAAUUUCCCAAGUGAAACGUGCGACUAAUGUAGUAGACUAGACAAUCUGUGCUGAGAAGAUUUAAUUCUCUGAAAUAAUCUGUUCUAUCAAUAUUCUCAAUUCGACUUAAAUUUAAUUCAACAAUUUUACAAACUUUCUGCAAAUUAAUUUGUGUGAUUGAAAUAAUCUAAUUCUUGUUCCAUGAAUGUUCUUGAAUUUAAAAAAAUUUAAAUAAUAUAAUUUGCGACGCGACGAUUCUACAAAUUUUUUACAAAAUAUAUUCUUCUAAUUUAUGCGAUCUAUAAUAUCAUUGAAACAACAUAUUUCUGAUCCACUUAAAUUUAAUGGAACAUUUUCUACAAUUUCUCUGCAAAUAUAUUUCUUAAUUUAUAUGGAAGAUAAAAAUUGUGUGUGACAAUAUUCAAUAAACGAGUUAAUUAUGGGACAAUAUAUUCUUAAAAAUAACUCAUUAACUUUUCACCUUUUAAAGUUCUUUAUAUAAUACGCGAUUUAAUAUUUCUUAUUUUAAUUUUAAUAUUAGGUAAUCAAGAAAAUUUUCUUAUUUCUUUUCAUGAUAGAUCAUAAAUAUAUAAUUAUUCGUCUCGAAAUUGUCUCGAAUGAUACUUUGAGACUUUGCAAAGCAUUUCCAGAAAAAUCGUCUCAAGAUUUCUUGAAUUAUUAUAUAUGUGUACGUAAUCUUUAAUAAACCUAUUUUUAGAAUAAUUAUUUUUAGAAUUAAAAAUAAAAGUAUUAAAGAGAAGAAUUUUUUAAAGUCUUUACUUUCAUAUUUAUAUAUAUUUUUUUUCUUUUCGAUCUUUUCUACAUUGCUUAAAUUUUCCUUUUCCACAAAGAAAGAAACUUUCUUGAUUAACUAAUAUUUUUGUAUAAUUAUUUGUAUAAAUCGUAUGCUAUAUUUUGUUAGAAAAAUUAAAAUAAAAAAAAAGAAAUUACGAAAAUAAACCUUCGACAGAAAAUAUCCCGGAGCAGAGCUACGUAGCUUAUGUUCUUGUUAACUCGUCUUACAGUAACAAAGAGAAAUGCAAUUUCGCAGAAACGAAUAAUCACGAGCAUCGAUGAUAAGGAUUUUAUUUUCUUUAACUCUUUGUGAAUGAAUUCGCACGUUUUAUCGAAAGAUUAAUUACGAUAAAUCAUAUUAAAAUAAUAUACCUCGUUCCUUUAUCUUUCAACAAAAAUAUUAAUAUAUAUUAUAAUACAUUCUUAAAAUCGAAUAAAAAGGAUAUUGCUUCAAAUUCAAUAUUUAUAAAAAUUAAAAGAAAAUUCUAUCUACAGUGUAUCAUAUUUUUAAUUAAAAACAAUAUUCAUUCAAAAUUAAAUACUCUUGAAAUACUAUCUUUUAUACAACAUAUACAGAAGCAUCAAUGAUUCAAAUAAAAUUACAUUUAACAAAAGUACACGGAAUAAUAAUAACACAAGUAUCUGAUGUAUUUUCCAUACAUUAAACAUACAACUCAAUUCUUGACAAUUAAUAACAAAUUAUUCACGAAUACUAUAAAAACGUAUGUUCAAUCCUUUUUACUGCAAAAAAAAGAAGAAAAUUUCAGAAAGGAAAAAUAAAAAACACGAAUCUCCAAUAACAAUGAUACCAUCGACGAUUAUGCGUCACUGCAUAAAUCCUUUUUAGCUUGGUGUCGUGACGCGGGUGCAAUCUUUUCGAAUUUUCUUCCUCUUCUUCUUCUUCACCGGCCGAAUAUUCAAAUAAUUCAAAUCCACGGACGGUAGGCGUGGAUUUUCUAAAUAUUUGGCCGAGCGUGUUUAUCGACAUGUCGGUGGUGGACGUAUGAGCGAGUUAACAGGCACGAGCACAUAGGCGGGAUGCCGUAUGCAGCGCGAAAGGGAGGGGGGAGAAGAGACAUGGAAAGGCGGCCUGCUAGAUCCGCCGCUAAAAAUACACGUCGCAAUAAACUCAAGGGUGACGUCCACUACAUAGACACGACGUAUUUAGCUGUCCUUAGUUACACAUUCAUUCUUAUUCCUCUUUUUCUUCUUCUUCUUUUGAGUUGGCCGUUUAAAAGAAAGUUUCCUUUUACCGGCGGAGCUGAAUCCGAGUCGCAAUCGAAAAGCUAGCUCUCGAAAAGGUGAUUGAGAGUGUGCUCGUGUGUGUCGAUGAAUGGAGAGUUUUCAUUUGGAAUGGAAGUGGGAAAUGAAGGGAGGUUAAUAAUUUAUCUAUUUUUCGAAUUGUUGGUGUUUAUUUAGUUGGAGUUAGGCGAUGAUAAAUAAGGAAGGAAAGAAAAUUACUCGUGGAUUAUUUAUCUUUUUAAAAUUAUUUUAUAUUUGAAAUAGUAAAAUGACGAAUAAUAGUCAUACGUUUUCAUCGUAUUUGAUAUAAAAGUAGGAGAGAAGAAUUCGUUGAUUAUGACAAAAUUUUUAUUCUUGGAACAUUCUUAUUAGAAUUUCUGAAUUUGUGAUUUUAUUUUGAUAAUGCAUUCUAAUUCGAGAUUUAAAAAAUUAGGAUAUUUUUUUUUUAUCUUUUAUUUGUUAUUAUUAUUAUUAUAAUAUCAAAAAAAGGAUUCAAAAAAUGAGAUAUAUUUUUAUUUUUUGAUUUAAAUAAAGAAUUAUGGAUGCUUUUCCUUGUUUUUUUGUUAAUUGAAUAAUUGUCUUCGUAUUGUUUAAUUUCUAAAAUAAUAUUUAUAAGAUAGAUAAGAAAGGUAAAGAAGAUUAAUAACAAUACGAUAUUGUUUAAAGCACAUUUAAAUUAUAAAAUAAUUUCUAUCGUAGAAUAUAAUAUAUUUUUUUUAAAAAAAGAAAACAUUUUAUUUGAUUUAUUAUUAUUUUACAAUUCAAGAAAGAAUGCAGUUGAACAAAAAUCCAAAAAUUUCAAUGCAUAUUAUAAAAUCUUCAUAAAAAUUAAAUUUAUAUAAAUAUAUAAAUAUUUCGAUUUCAUUAUAAGAAACAUAUAAUUUUGAUACUUAUAAGAAAAAAUAAUCAAUUGAUUAAAUUAAACAUAUAUAAAUGAUUAAAUUCAGCGUAAUAGAUGAAGUUUGGAUAUGUAAAUGGAUAACUUCACAGUUAGUUUGUUGAUAUAGCGUAUCUGGACUCUGCAGUGCGUCAGUGUAGAUCGUGAGUAAUUAAUAACAGUAAGUCAAAUUGCUUCCUAAGUUUAAGACUUACACAAAAUGAAGUGUGCACACAGAACAUAAUAUCAUAGUAUAUUUUUCAACUAUAAUUAAAUUCUAUUUAUUUCUCAUAACUGAAAUAAUAAUCUUUGCACAAACCUUAUUUCUUUUUCGAUGACUCCAUACAUUUAAAUAUUUCGUUUUUAACUAUUUGCCAAAAGUUUCGAAUUAUUUUCCCAGCUAUAUCGAUUCUUUUUACUUUUUUUUAAUUUCGAUAUCAAUUCUCGAAAUUAAUUUUACAAAAUAUCUAUCGAAAUUACUCUAUAUGCAGUAAUUUACUUGAACAAAUUUUAUUUAAAAAAAAAAACUUUUCGUAUUAACAUUACUUCGAUUUCUUUUUUUUCAAUUUUUAAAAUUUUUUUAAUUUGCACAUCUUAAUGAAUAUAUUUUUCAGAUUGCUCGUGUUAAAAGACGUGUGAUAUUAUAUUAUUGAUUAUUUAUUAAGUAAAAAUCUUUGAUUAGCUGUGCCACGGCAUUGCGGUAGAAGAUACGGAAACUUCCAAAAGAAUAAACUUCCAAAGCAUCCCACUAGAUGACACUAAUGAAGCUCAUUUAGAAUUAAUAAACGAGAAAGUAGUUUCAGAUGUUCCAAGUCAGACUCCGUCACGUUCGUCCCACUGGGAUAUUUACAAGUUCCAUUGAAAUGUUCAUUUAAAUGCACUGCGUCAUUGCAAAAGUGCGAUUCUUUCAACUUUGAAUAUUCCAGUAUUUUGGGUAAUUUUUGACCCAAUAUCCUUACUUUAAAUAUUUCCAAUAUUAAAAAAAAUCUAUCUUUGAUUCAGAAAUAGAAGAAACUCGAGAUAUAAAAGUUUCUCUCGUGUUUUCAAUAUUACUAAAUUAUUGAUUUUAAUACGAAGAAAAACUUUUAAAAAUCAAUAUUAUUUCUUACUUUAAAAUUUUGCAUCAAAAUUUUUCUUCGCACAUUGAAAAUCCCUUUGUGAAUCAGAAAUAAGAAGGAAAUAAAAAGAGACGAAUAAAAAUCAGAGGAGCAAGAUUAAUGUUAAUUUCGAAUGUUGAAGUAUUUUUUUGUAUCCUCGAUAUAUUUAUAUUCUUAAUUUUUAAUAAUUUUGAUAAAGUAACGUUUAAUUAUAUUUUUAAAAAUUUUAUAUUCUUUUAUUCUUGAAUAUGUGAGAUUAUAUUAUAUUUUGCUGAAAAGUUAUUAAAAUUGUACGUAACAAGUACAAACAGGGAAAUUGCUUUUAUUAAAAAAACAUUGGGAGAAUUUUUAAUCAAACGUUGUAAUAAAUGUUGAGCUAUCAUCAUUAAUUUCUCUUCUAAUAUUUGUACAAUUAAAUAUAAAAUUGAAAAAUAUCGUUGGAUAAUAUAAGAAUAUUUAAAUUCAUAAAAUAUUAGAUAUAUUUUUCUUUUACGUUGAAAAAAUAAUUGUAAUUAUUAUUAUAAAAUUUAUUAUUAGUAUUAUUAUUUGUAAUAAUUAUAUUUAAUCUAUUUUUACAAUUUCAACGUUUUUCAAAAUAAAGAUUUUAUAUUUUUAUAUAGAUUCAAAACGUUUCAUUUUAUUCCAUUUUACUUCAGCAAAAAAGAUACAUCAACACUUUUGAAAAAUCAUAUCUCUCUUAGAAUUUAUCAUUUUCUUACAGAAUCUAAAAUUUAGAAGAUAUAGAGUCUAAAUACAAAUAAACAAUUUUAUAAUUGAACUUCUAUUUUGAUGAAUUUUCCAAGAAUAUAAAUUUUAUCGCUGAAAUACAAUAUCGUGUUCCUUUAAUAAUCCUCUAUUAAAUAUGGAUCGGAUAUUUAAACAUCUAUUAUUUUCAUCCACUCGAAAAAUCCAAGAAAAUUUGUAAUUAUAUCAAGUUAUAUUAAAAAUGAAACUUAAUCAAUCAAAAUCGAGAGAACUAAUUCUGAUUUCUGCAUAUUCUUUGAAAAAAAUAAAAGUGCAAAUUAACAUUUCAAAUAUAAUUCUGAAUUUGUCCAAAAGAGAAUAUAUUAUCCUUUUUUUUCAAUCUCAAGAAUUAUUUAAUAAUUUUUUCAUAAAUCUAGAUAUCAUUUUAUUUUGUGUGACUUUCUAAAAAAAGAUAUUAUUAUUUGUUCAUUUUUAAAAAAAAAUAUUUUAUAAAAUUUUACAUAAUAUUAAGUGUAUUGGAACACGAAAUAAGCAGCAGAUAUAAAAUAAUAGGCUAAUGCCCGAGAAAAUAAUAGUCGGGAUAAUAAAAGUUGCUAGCCAAACUUUGUUCAGCCUAUUUUACGACCACCCAUUGUAUUGAUUAAUGUUGAUAGUACGAAGCUCGUAUUUUCCACUCCAAUACUAUUUCUCCAAUUCGUUGUUUCUUUCAACGAGUAACAGACAGACAAGAAAGAAUUUCAUGGAAACAAAACAAUCCAUAGUGAUUUUAAGAGAUAAGCAAUUAUAACAAAUUUAUUAUCAAAUAAUUAAGAAAAUUCCAUGAUUCCUUUUACGAUAGAAAAAAAAUAUAUGACAAAAUAAAGAAUCACUUUUAAAAUUGCACACCUGUGCAAUACCAUUUUACAAACAAUAGAAUUUUAUUGCACAAAGAGAGAUUUAAAAUUAGAUGCGUAAUUGUACACUUGGAAUAUAUAUUUACUUUUCAAUAAUUAUCUCGUUCAAUUACAUAAUAAAUUCACGAAGAAAAUUUGAUCAGACGAUUCCUUAUUCAAUUUUUUUCAUCUUCGCUUUUCGAAUCACAUUUCACAGAGAAAUUCAUCCAACUCGAACAUUCCAAACCAUUUUAAAUUAAUGCAUGUAUUCUCGACGAGAAAUCCCUUUCAAAGGAACUCUCCCUUAAUUUCAUCCCCUUAAAAUUCUCGAAGAAAAAAGAAAAAUUGCCACUAUAAUUGCUUUAAAUAAUCCAUUUAAAGUUGAGAAAUUAACUUGACCAAUAAAUAUGGCAGAAAUUAACAAAAAUUCCACCAAAAUUAAAAUCAACAGAUAGCGAAGAGAAACUAAAAAAAAAAAAAAAAUCGAUCGGCAGAUACGUCGAACAACGGUGACAGCGAACGCCAUCAAGAGAUGGAGGAGAAUCGUGGCUCGUUCGAUCGUGCAACAAUCCCUCACGACGACUACGACGACGACACCCCGUUCGAGACCCCUCCUCGACCCCUAAAUUACCACCGAUCGAUCGACAAUUGCUACGUACUUUGCCCAAGGGACGGCCAAGAACGCGCCGCCUCCUUCUACAUCGAGAGCAUCGAGUUCGCGAACGAGUUCAACAAUCGUCUCUGCCCGUCCUACGAGCAACCGCGGCGCGCAAAAAUGUCGAAACAGGGCAGAAGCAAUUCGAUGGUCGAUCAACGCCGUCGUUCCAGCGUUCAAUCGAACCGCUCGAGGACAAACAGCUGCGGCAGGCCAACACCGCUAGGGAAUGGUAGAAGAGGUAGCUCGAGUAGAAGAACGAAAGUACGAAGGGCGAGUUCCACUCAUAGAAAGGAUUCUGUCCGGCCUCUGAAAAUGGUAGUGAAAGAGGCGCAGAAAAUUGUGGAGGAUGAACGAAGUUUAGAGCAGGCGAGACGCCAUCGAAGGAUCACUAUGAUCAUCGUGGGAACGUUUAUUUUCCUUCUGGCGGCUUCCGUACUCGUCGUGGUGGUUACGUUAACCCACAGCACGUUUUUGAGCCCGCCCAUGGGCUCCAAGGAGCUUGCCGAGCAUCGAGCUCAGACUGCGCAGAGAAAACGAGGAGCUGUUGAAUUCCCUCAACAGAGUCUUCGAAACUGAAAACUCAACAAUGACACUCUGAACAAACUGUUUUCUAAGGAAGACGAGUGGCCUGUUUUGAUGCGUCUUUCGGAGAAGUUUGAAAUUGAAGCAAGAAGCAAGAAGCAAAAGAAGAAGAAGAAGAAAAACUAUCGCUUAACUUCGAAGUAGAAAAGAAGAGAUCAAGGAUCGUUUUUCAAAAGCAGGCAAAGUUUUAUUACAAUUCCAUUUUAUCCAAGACGUAUAGUUAGGUGUAGCGAGGAAAUGGCCAAAUUUCAUUUGUCAAUGUCGACACGAGGCUAAUUUGUCCACUCUGUCGAUAGAGUACGAACUUCGAAACUAAAUCUAUAACAAGAUGGUGUCGACAUCUGUAAUUCUGUCCUCGUUAUUUCGAAGGUACGUCCAACCUCACUUUUUUUCAUUGAAGUGUAUAAUUUGAUAUUCUCUGGGAGGAAUCGAAUAUUACACUGUCUCAAAAAUUCUUUUCGUUUCUUCUUUUUUUUUUUUUUAAUACGAAUUUAUUAUAUUCUCUUAGAACUUUUGCAAUUUCGAUGAUCAUACAUAGUACAAUGACAUUUCAUCGUUUGUGAAAUUUUAUAUAAUUUAUAUACAAAUUGAUUGGUAUUAAUAUUCCAUCUAUUAUUUUUCCAAAAUAACUUUGAUUUAUAAUUGUAUCAAUAAUUAAUAAAAAUAUGUUUCAUGUUAUGUUUUAUAGAAGAAUAUUUCGAAUAUUUAAAGAGUAAAAAAUGAUUAAAUCAAUGCAUAAAUAGAUGAAUGAAUAAAUAUAUUAAGUGUCAUUAGUUAAUGAUCACGUAGCGCUAGUGUCGUUGUCAUUAAUCAUUAUAGUGUUAUGUCAGAUUUUUAAUAUCAAAGAAUAAAUUUUUUUAAAAUCAAAUCCAUUUUAUUUAAUAUAAUUAAAUAAAAUAGAUAGAUUACAAUCUAUUCAACUUGUAAUUCGAUAAUUUUCUAAUAUUAUUGAUAAAUUUUACGAAAAGAUACUUAACAAAAAUACAAGUGUUCUCGAAAAAUGAAAAAUAAUUUCUUAAAUAUGCAAAUAACGAAAAGAAUUUUUGAGACAAUCUAAUGAUAUACAGGGUGUUUCCUAUUUUCCUAUCAAACUGCAGGUGCACAAUCUAUAUAUGAAAAUAGAAAAGAAAAUGUAUACAAGAUAUUAAUAUAUUCUUAUGACAGAGCCGAGUAUUUUCAUUUUAUUUCAUUUAAAUUAACUAACUUCUUUUGUUUGUUUUGGCCUUUAGAAUCGACCCUCGAAAGGUGUCUCGUGAAUAUAUUAUACGAAGUUUGUAAAUGUUUUCAUACAAAGUUAUAGAUAAAGUUAUACAUUAAAAUAUGUGCAAUCUAAAUAUUUCCAUAACGGCAAAUUCUGCAUUAGGAUAAUUCGAAAUUUUAUUUUUUCAGAUAAAAAUGUGAACAAUUUAAACGAUCAAAAAUUUAAAAAAAAAUUAUAAUAUAUAAAUAAAAUAAAAAUCAAUUUAAUACUGAACACUAUUAUUAACACAUUUAAAGUGCGUUUAAUAGCCUAGAACUUUGUAACAUUUUAAACAAACUUUUACAUUUUCAUUUAUAGAUUGUACAACUUUUGCACAGCGGUUAUUUUCAUAUCGAAAUUAAAAUUAAAAUUAAAAAUAUACGAUAAUUUGAAAUAUAGAAGCCAAUUCUUUUCUUUUUAACAAUCGUAUCAAUAUAUAUAUAUAUAUACAUAUUUUUUUUAUAUUAUUUGAAAAGAAAAAAAAAUCAAUAUUUUUAUCGAUUUCUUGCAACCCUUUCAUCACUCAAAAUUGAACCAACAAGAAUUAAAAUUGGAAAUAUACUUUUUAAUUACCAUUAGUUGAGAACCACUGUUCCUGCAGUUUUCUUAAAAGUUGGAAACAUCCUGCACAAUCAAACACGAAGAUAGAAAGAAGAAAGAAAGAAAAAAAUUAAAUAAGAUAAUAAGAAUCCACAAAAAAAGUUAUCUGCGACGAUUAUAUGUAGAUACAAGUCGCAAUUGUUAGUUUGUUGUUGUUAUUGGCGCGGCAAAUGGAUGACCGUGUGAAGCCUUGUUACGAAACUGCAUUGUAUCGUUCGUUCGAUGCACGAGAAAUUCUAUUCCAAAUAAAAAUGUACCGUAUACUGAAUUUCGAAUUUCCCACAUCGUAUAAUAUCGACAACGAAGAAAGGAAUGUUAAAAAAAAAAAAAAAGAAAAAAAGAAAAAGAAAAAGAAAAAAAAAGAGAAGAAAAGAGUUCGCGAAACUCGAUUUUAAAAUUCCUUGUUGAAAAAAGAAAUCCAAACAAUCAGUAUUCCUGAGACAAAAGUGUAACCUUGCUGUUGUUCCAUCGAUAAUGCGUAAAUGAAAGUGUGUUGUAGAUACAUAUAUAUAUACAGGCUGUUCCAUUUGAAAUCGUCUCUUAAACUGUUCAUUUUUUAAAAGAAUGUUUCAAAUGAAAAUUGAAAUUUCUUUGCGGUCGCAAAUUAAAUCUUAUCUUAAAUCCUGGUGGAUGAGAUUUCAAGGUGAACUUUGUCUAUUAUUAAUGGAAUCGUGUGUAUUUAGAUAGACGAAUUCAAUGACUCGUAACGUGUCUGAGGUCAUUCAAGGUGAUUCAAAUUUCCUUAGAUUUCGUUUGUCUGAAUAUUUCGUCGAUUCUGUUGCAAACAUAAAUUGAAAUUAAUGAUCAUUGCAAAAUAAUUUUUUAUUUGAAAUAUUUCUUUUUCAAAAAAUGAAUUUUAACUUAAGAGGAAAUAAUGGAACGCUAUUGUGUAUAUUUGCAAUUUUAUUUCGAAUUAUAAGUAGAGUAUAAAGACUUUGAUAUUUUUGAUUCCUAUCAAUGCUCGAAAUUGAAUAAAUUAUUUUUCCCUCUCUUUGUUAUUCGUGUGAUUUCAAAUUAAGAACAAGCUUAAUUAUUAUUAGAAGAAAAAUUGUAAAUAAUUGAAAAAAACGAAAUUAUAGAUCCGUCUGUCGUUUUUCUUUCUAUAAUUAUAUUCUCGAUUUCUCGAUUGUGUAAAUUUGAUUUUUUCAUUACCGAGAAAUGUAGAGUGGUUAUAAUUUUCGUUGCAAAAGUGUCUUCCAAUUUAGAGGAAACGUGACAAGUAGUUGUUAAAUGAGUGAACUGCUCGAUUUUUUUUCCCAAUGAAGAUGCUCGUGAAGAAAUCUUUCGAGUUGAAUAUUUAUAUUACACGAAGCAUCGAUCGUUAGAAAAAUAGCCAGAAUAAUUGUUGUUGACAAUCUCAUACGAGAAAAAAAUUAUAUUAUUCUGGUAUUUAAGAGAAAAAAAUGCAGGAAAUGUUGGACUUCGUUGACAAGGAUAUCGUCACGAUUUAAAUAUUUUACACUUAAAAACUUAUUUUAUUUACAUGAAAUAUCAUUAGAUUAAAUGUUAAAAGAAUCUUUUUAUUCUUCAAAUAUUAUAAUUGAAUUUUGUUUUUCGAAUACGUAUUGUAUACAUUUUUAUGCAUUCAAAUUUUAAAUAGAUUUAAAUCUAAAUCAAAAGCAAUUAUCAUUUGUCAAUUAAUUUUUACAGAAAUUGAAAUGUAAAUUCGAUGAUAGAAUUACAGAUAUAAUGUAAUAAAUACGUACUUUGAUUAUUUAUUUUGACUAUUUGUGAUCUUAAACAAGAUUUUCGUGCAAUAAUAUAAUGAUAUUGAAUAAAAUUUUAAUUUCUUUGUGUACACGAAUUUUUAGAAUUAAUUUUUUUUUUCAAACAAUCAAGCAAACAAUUAUUAAAAUAGUUGAGAUUUUUUUCAUAAUAAUCGUGACAAUUUUCCUGUUGACAUACGCAAUUUAUACUUUUAAACGCAAUUGAAAUCGAAGCAAACAAUACCUACAACACAAAGCCUGAUCGAUUCAUCAAUGGAUAAAAUUGUUUGAUUUCCCUUGAAACUUAUUUGAAUAAACUAUUUUACGUCCAUAAGAUGCGUAUCAACGUCGACUGUAUACCAAUGAAAGAACAACUUUUCUCGUGACAGUAUUGUUCGAGAAGAACUUAUCGAUGCCGCCAUUUUAGAUCUCAUCACCAUUUUAGAUUUAGUCGCAGUGUCAAAGAGUCAAAGGAUGGAUCUGAACAAGCGUUAAUGUUUUCGUCGUGUAAUCUUGUAAGCCGUAGCAUCUGAGACCUCGCCUUUUAGAAAUAAUAAUACAAUAAUAAUUUAAAAGGUACCUCUUAUAUUUUUUGCCAAAAAAGGAAACAAAAAGAAAAUCGUGAAACGAAUAAAACUUUGGAUACUUACAAUAGUGAUGAAUUGUUAACUAUUGUUGGCUCGAAUGAGAAUUCGUUUAAGAAGAAUUAUAAUUGAUAAUUAACUUGUGAAAGGAUAGAAGUUUUCUUCGUCGAAAAAAAUUGAUCUUUCGUUAACUCGAAUUAUAGAAAAUAUACGAAACGAACGUAUAAUUCUGCUCAAUUGAAAUAAAGAUUGAGAAACUUUUUGAAAAAGGAUAUAAACAAACAUUUUAUUCGAUAUCAUAUAAUUGUUUUCGAAAUGUUGCAAUUAAUUUUCUAAUUGUAACUGUAUUGAGAUUUUUGGUUAAUAUAGUAAAUUUUAUAGAAAAAUUUUUUGUAAAUGAUAAUAUUUAAAUCUGAAUUUUUUUCUUAAUUUUUUCCAUUCCAUGAAAUAAAAUUUAUAAUUUCAAAUUAUAGAGUUUUGAUGUUAAAAACUUAUUUUUUAUUCUUACAUAAUAUGUUCUUGCAUUAUCAGAAUUGUUUAAAAUAUUUUAAUAUAUGAAAUAGAAUAUCUUAAUCAUUAAGAUAUCAAAAAUAAUUAUAAAUCCUCUUCUACAAAGUUUCUCAAUUAUUUCUAGUUUAUGUUCUAAUAUAUGUGCAAUUAAAAUUUGAAUUCGAGAACUUUGCAAGAGAACGUGGCACAUUCAUUUGUAAAAUUCGUAAAAUUAAUGUAAAUUAAAAAACAUUGUUUAUAAAAUUAUUAUCUAAUACUCUAACAUUUGAAAAAUAAUACUAAUCGAAAAAAAUGUUUUCAUAUAAUAAGUGAUAAAUUUUUAUGGUGAUAAAAUUUUAUUCAAUUCUUGAUAAAUUAUUCAAAUGAAGCAGUCUUUAAUUGUUACUAAAUUAUAAAAAAAAAUACUUAGUAAGACAAUAGUUAAUAGACAAUACAACACAUCAUUUAUCGUUACUUUAUUAAUCAAAAAUAUCAUCUUUUGUUAGAUGUAAGAGAAAGAAUUUGCAUUCUCUAUUUCGCAAAAUUCAAUUCAAAUUCUCUAAAAAAUUAUUUAUAUCUUAAAAUAGAGAAUUUAUAUAUUUCGUUUAGAUACAUAAAAUGUAUCAAUAAUAACUCAAAAACUAUUAAAGAUGAAAGAUGGAUCUGCCCUCUUGCUGCAAUGUUCUCAAUUAAACGUAUUCGCGAAUAUCAACAAAAUAUCUCUCGGUUUAUCAGUCGAUCAAAUAAAAAAAAAAAAAGAAAAGAAAAGAAAAGAAAAGAAAAAUAACGAAACACGUAUUGUCUACACAGAAAGAGAAGAAAAUGGUAUUGAAAUAAUAAUUGGAUUGAAACGUGAAUAAUUUGUGAAAGGUAACGUUUACCUUUUAGGUUAUAAUUCAUACGUGCAUACUUUGUAAUAUCGAAUAAUACGCGUUAUUAGUGAUAUACAUUAUAAUAAAUAUUAUUUAGUUUAGCAUAAUAAUUAUUAGGAAUCACACACUGUAAAACGAUAAUUAAGCGUAAUUCGAUGAAUUGAAUCGUUUUAUCCAUCGAUACUCGACCAAAUUUCUAUCUCGUCAAUUCUUCGUCUUUUACGCCGAAUUUUUACUAAUAAACACACUGUUUCUCUUAUUAUUCUAAAGGCAGCCGUCCUCAAGAAAUGAUUGAUCUUCUUCUCAGGAGAAAGGAAAGUUCGAACAGGCUUUUGUCGCAAAAUGAUUCUCCAAAAAUUAAAUAAAGAUCAUAUUCAGAGAAUAUUUUUGAUCGUGAUAAAUAUGGAAAGAAAUUAAAUAAUUCACGAAUUUCGUUUAUACAUUUUUUGAUUUUUCGUAAUUUUGUAAUUUUUCUUUUUUUUUUUUAAAAUUGUUAAAUACAAAAAGAGGUUUAUACGAAAUGAAUAAUUUCGAAAAAUGUGAUAAAGCGAUAUAUAAUUAAUUUUAUUAAUUAGGUUAAUUACGUUAUACAAGUUUCUAUGUUGUUUUAUUUAUUUAUUAUGUUCUGUAAUAGUUUAUAUAAAGUAACAAGUUGAUUUUGUGAUUGUUAUAUAUUAUUAUUUUAUAUGCUCCCAUUCCCAAAAUAUUAUGAAAUAAAUCUAUCAUGUUGAUACAAAAUAAGAAUUAACAAAGCAAAUUAUUAAUAAUUUUGUUGUUACAAAAUGUUAACAAGAUUGUUUCUUUCUUCAUGCUUUUAUUUUACAGCUCAUCUUAUCGAUUGUCUCUAAGUUUAAUAAUUUUUCUUUGAAAAAUAUCUUUAAAACGAGAUCUGUACGACAAGAUAGGAUAAAUAAGUAGUAAUACACAAAAUAAUAGAGUUCGUAAUUCUAGAGUUAUACUACUUAAUUAUCUUCUCAAUUUGAUAUUAGUCUUUCAAAAAUUUCUUUUUCAUCAAAUCUUUUAUUAACAAUAUAUAUAAUAAACUACAUAUAUCAUAUUAUUAUUUAAAUAAUUAAUUAAAAUAAAAAAAUUUAUUUUCAGAUAUUGAAUAAUAUUUUUUCAAUAUCUAUUUUUAUAUCUAUGUAUUUACGUAUUUUUAUAAUCUACACAAGUAAAUUGUAAAAUUAUAAUUAUAAUUAAAAUUAUAUUAUAAUUGAUUAUAUUUAAUUGAUUCUCAAUAUUUAGUUUUCUUCAAUUAUCAAUGUUGUUUUCAUCAAAUAAAAAGUAAAAGUUGAUGAAAUUCGUGCAAAAAAAUUUUGGCAAAUUUUACGAGCAGAAGCUAAUCUCUCACGACAAGAAACCAAAGUUUUUUAUUGGCAAUAAGUUUCACGUUAAAUCUAUUUCUUUAGCAUUGUACAAUAUUAUUUGAAGUUGAUUAAAAUCCAAUAUAAAUGAUUCUGCAGUUUAUUAUUAAUUACAAGUUUUUCUAAAAUCCUAUACUAAAAUCUUUAAUUUAUAGAAUUAAAAUUUUCUUUUUAUGAAUGAAUAUAAAGAUAUUUUAAUUUUAAUUUUAUAAUCACUUCUCUUAUGUUGGUAAUCAUUAUCAAUGGAUAUAAGAUAAGUCUUAAAUUAUUUUUUAUUUGUUUAGAAUACCAUUUAUUUUCUUUUUUAUUUCUCCUUAAUUUGCACUUAAUAAAAAAACAAAUUAAUGAUUCUUUAUUGUAAUACAUUCUUUGAAAACAAUCUUUCUCUUAUUUUUAUAUUGAAUCAUUUAAUUAUUUCAUUCUCUGUACAAAUUAAAAUCAAACUUUUGAUAUCAAAUUUUUAAACAAAAUUAUCAAAAUCGAAUACGUUUAAAAAAUCUCUGAAUAUGAAUCUUUUAAAAUUGUUGAUAGAUAAGUUAAAUAAAUUAAACCUGUAAAAUAUAGCACUCUUUAAAAGAAAAUUUAUAUAGGAAUGGCCAAUUCUCGAGGUAUUAUAUCGAAGCUUUCGAAAAUUGUAUUUGCGUCGUACAAUCCACCAUCGACCCUUCUCGUCGAUUUUUUCCAAUACUUAUAUCUCGUAGAAUUAGUUAAAACAAAAAGGAUCAUUGAUUUCGUAGAAACCAAAAAGGAAAAAAAAAAAAAAGAAAAAAGAUUUUUCUUAUUCGCAUAACAAUAGAAAAAUAAAAAUCUCAGAUUUAAUUGCAACUUCUUAGAUGGCAAAUAAAAUUGUAUGAGUAAUAAUUAUUAACACAAGAACGUAUAGAGUUACAAGUAUAAUCGUAGAUUCGUUCGUAUUUAUUGGCCGCCAUUUUGUUGAAACAACUUUCAUUUUGUUUUCUACUUGGAAUAUAAUAUUUCUUGAAAAAGUGAUUACCAACAAGAAAAGUUAUCCAAGUAAUCAUUAAAUUUUUUAUUUUUAAAAUAAUAAUUAUUGGAAAAUGUGAUAUUCUAUUCUCUGAUAAGUGAAAUAAAUAUCAUUGAUUCGGAAAAUUUAAUGUCAAGUUGAAAAUGGCGUAGAAGUUCGCCAUAAGAGUUAUAUUUAUUUUCGUAGUUUUUUCUUAUUUUCUUAGAUAUAAAAUUUAAAUUUCAUUAUAUUUUUAAAUUAAUUUCCUUUUUAAUUUCUUUAUUAAUUUUUUUCACUUUUUUUUUUGUAUUUAUGUCAUCUGAUUUGAUAUUUAUUUCAGUCAUUAGAUGAUAGAAUAUCGUAAAAAUUAUUUUAUUUUAAAAUUAAUUUCAUUUUCUAGAUAAUUUUUCUUCUAUCGAUGUGUAAGAAACAAUUUUAAGUUUAUCAUUUGUUAAAUUAUUAAUGACAUUCUAUUUAUUUCGUAAAACUGAGAAUUUGUAGCAAUAUAUAUAAAUUUGAAGCAAAAGGAAAAAAAAAAUUAAUUUAUAUAUUUUUUUUAGCUUUAUUAUUAUUCUCUGUUAUUUAUUUAUCCUUAUUUUGACGUACUGUCUUCGUAAUCUUUCUAAUCAUAAAAUAUUGAAAUUACAAAGAUUGCUUGUAAUAACAAUUUAUAAUACAAUAAUGAAAUGAACAUAUAUUUUCAUGAUUAUGAUGCAAAUUGACUUUUACGAUUAUGCAAAUUCACUAUGUUUAAUCUAAUAAUCCAUUUACAUUUUAUCGAACAUUAAUUACAAUUUAAUUUCCUGCAUUAAAUUCGCUACAAAAUUAACAUUUUGUUAUAUGUCUAAUGUAACAAAUAUGAUGAAUGAAUAUAUCAGAUAGCAGAUAAAAAAAUUUUGUCGUUUCCAUGUGAAAAUUUCUAUUCAUUAAAAAAUAAGCAUGUUUACUUUGUUCGAAGCAGGAAAAUAAUUAUAAAUAUCCAUUUCAUAAAAGAUCCACAACCUUGAAAAGUGAAAAACUCUUUUUCAACAUCCUUUUUUUUAUUUUUUAUUUUAAACAUGAUUUUAAAGACGAAGUCUCAACGAUCAUUUCAUCUCAAAAUAUUUUACCUUGUAGCAUGUUCCAUUUUUCAGAAUAUAUAUUAAAAUAAUUGAAAUUCCAUCACACAAUUCAUCCUUUAAACAAAGAUUUUUAAGAUUUAGAAAAAGCCUAAUUUUAUUAUCCUAAGAGAGACAAAGGAAAUUAUUAAUGUCAAAACUGAUUAUGAAUAUAAAAUACAAUAUUAUAACAAUAACAAAAAAUAAUAAAAAUUUUAAUUUAUUAAAUAAAUUUAAAUAAUAGUUGAUUACCUUUUGAAUAAAUAGAGCGAACGUAAAUAUUGUUGAUUCUUCAAUCAUAUAGCAAUAAUUGUGUGUUUGCUAUUUCCCCUUUAUACAUUUCAUAUUUUUAUCGCAACUUUUUCAUUAAUUAAUAAUUUAAACGACCUAUAUUUACGCAACGUUUUAACAUUUUUUUCUAACUUUUAAUUACCUAUACAAUAUACGUUUGUUUAAUUCAACAAUAUACAUGAAUAUAUACAAAUUAAUGUUACACCCUGCAUACAUUCCUCCAUCAGAUAAAAGAAACGACAGAACUUUCUUACGGACGCUUAAUAUCACAGGCAGUGGCAUUAAUAUGGCUGCCAACAGUUUUUUUUUUAUUUUCCAACCAACAAGAAAAUUUCACUUGUGCAUAUAACAUUACACCGCUUGUGUAUAAAGUAUAUAUAUGUAUGUAUGUACUUACUUGUGUACGUAUAUGCGUGCGUGUAUGAGUGUAUAUAUUAAGAGUGGUUCGGAUGUGAAUAAAUAAUCCUCUUAACGUUCUCGUUUCAAGGGGAACGAGCAGAUGCAGAUUAAAUAAUUUGGCCUAAUGCGAACAUUUUCUGCCGUUAAUUCUCAUCUUCCAAUCCGAGUGUGAAUCUGAAUCACUGAAAAAAAGGGAUUAUUCUCACCGUGAUGCGAUCUUUACUCAUCGUAAAAGGAUGUUGGAAAGUGGAAAUCGGAUAUUUAAGAGGUUUAUGGAGGCGAGUGAGAGGAUUAAGAAAUGUUUAAUCUUGGAAAUUAAUCUUAUAGCAAAAUCUCUGUAUAAUUUCGUCGAUAUCGAAUAUUGAAAUAAUCCAAAGAGAUGGAAUAUACUAGUACAUUAAAUUUAAUCGAACGUGAAACUCGUUUGAUUGAAAUACAAAAGAUAGAGGAGAAUAGAAGACAGAUUUCAGAUAUAUGCAGUUCGUGUGAAACGAUAAAAAAGUUUAUAAAGUGUACUUUUUCAAAUAGAAAGUAAAUUUGAAAAAAUUGUGAAUGUUCGAUUUCAUCCAUAAUUUUCUGAAAUGAAAGAUUUUGUUACUUAACGUGUCUGUUCUUUCUCUUUCUCUAAAAUAAAUUGAACAAAUUAAUUAAAUAAAAAACGAGUGAAAAAUUAUUAUUUACAGGAAAUGAAGGUAUCUUUUCUAUUAACAUUUCUGAGAUAAAAAUAAUAAGAUGUUCGAAUUAUUCUAAAUUUUUAUUCGAAGAAGACCUGCCGUAAAUGCAUUUUACAAUGAAAAGUGUACGACUCCUCUAAAUCUCUGAUUUCUUCUUUUGUAACGUUCUGUAAUAUAUUCUUAAUGCGACGGAUUAAAUACGAAACGGUGACGUAGCAACGUAAAUUGUUAAUAAAAUACGCGCAUAUUUACAAUAAAUUAAAUUUUACAUUUCAACUAUCUAAAAAUUUCGAAACUAACGAGCAUCUCGAUCUCUAGAUUUCAUUCGAAUUAUAUGAAAAUUGGAAGUUUUUCUCCUCGAAAACUUCACUUCUCUCGACGAGGUUUUCUUAAAACGAGGAUAAAUUAAAAUUGUUGCAUAUUGAUAACGAUCCAAUUACUGUUACAAUCUUAAUAUUUUGGGUCCAUUUUGUAAAAUUUCUUCUUUUUCAAAAAUUAUAAGAAAAUUUACUCGCGAUUAAUUAUUUUGAUCAGAUUUCUUAAAUUAAUUGUUAAAAAGUUAUCUCCUCCUUUAAAUGGAUCCAAUGAUAUUACAUGGAGAGAAUUAAAAGAAAAAAAAAUGAAAUUGAAAAUUAUAAAAAAUUACGAAAUUUUUAAAAAUUAUAAAUUUUCUAUCUAAUUGUUUUUAUAGUAAUACUAAAAAUCAAUACUGUUGCACAAUAAAAUGGAAUGAAAAAAUCAAAGUGAGCAUUUUCUAAUAAUGAAAAGAAUUGCGUAAAUUUUAAAUUUCUCUGAAAUUAAUUUUUAUGGUAACGCAAGGUUUUGCCCUUUCAAAAGUUCAUCCUAUCAAUCAUUUUAAAUUCUUUCGUUGAUCUUACUUCGUAAAUUAAUUCUUUAAUAUAAAUUAAUCGUUUUAUACGAAUAAAAUGAUUUUCAUAAAUAUGCAAAUUAAGGAAAGAAUUCUUAGAAAAUGAUAAAAUAUUUCUCAAUUUUCCCAAAUCUACUUGAAUUUUUUUAUCCAAGAUAAUCAUUAGAAAAUAAAAAUUAUUUCUCUUCAAACGACGAAUAAAUUACCAAAAAAAAAAAAAAAAGAUCGAACAAAAGUUUAUACGACAAAUUGACAAAUUUAUUGAUCAAAUUAAAUUUCAAUUUCUGAUCAAAAAAUUCUACAUCUUAUUCCACCCUGUUAUAACGAAACGAGGAUUUCGAUGGUUAAGUAAGAAUAAGAAAAUAUUAGAAUAUACUCUGUUUCUACGUCACCAAAGAAAAUUCAAUCAAAUUAAAAAGACAAUUACAUACCGUUGUAACAGUGUGCGAGAUAAUCACGACGAAUCUACAAGCGAGCAGUCUGUGUGCCAAAAUGAGUAUUAUUCUUACCGUAUUAAAAGAUGCGUAAGGGGUGAAUAAGAAAUGAAAAGUUGAAAUAAAAUUGUUACUUUCUCCUUCGACAAUCAGCGUGUACUAGAUCGCGUGUGCAUAUUUUUGUGUAAUAAUAAGCAUACGAGAAAGAAAAGACGUAAAUACGUCGAUAUGUCGCUCAGAAUGCUUUAUACAUAUAUCGUGUUGCAGAAAAAAAGAAAAAAAGAAAAAAAAAAAAAAAGAAAAGAAAAGAAAAAUUAAGUAUAUACGAAGAAUGAUGCGAGAAUUAUUUCUAGGAUUUCCAAAUUGUGAGGUAAAUUCAUUUUUUUUAUUCCUUCUGCUUGUGUCUUCCUUUAGACGUAAAAAAAAAAAAAAAUCGAAAAUAAAAGGAAAUAAAUUAUUUCUUCAUUAUGUAAUGUAAUUAUUUAUAAUAGAAAUAUAAAAAAUUUUUUUUAAGGAAUUUUGAUAGAUUUUGUAUAAUUAUUGUUUAUUUAAAUCUGUUGUCUGUUUUCAAUUCUUUGUGGUCGAUCUAUUAACAGUAAUAAAUACAGUAGAAAUACUUCCUAUAUACUUUAAAAUUAUUUUAAAAAAAGUUAAAAUAAAAGUAGCGCCAAAACGGAAUAAAAAUUUCGAGAAAUAGGAGAAAUAAAUUUUGAAAAAUAAUUAAAUGAUCCACGAUUGGUUAUAUUGUGCCAUUAUUGGUUCUAUUAUUAUUAUUUAAAUAAUUUUCUCGAAAAUUUUUAUACCAAAUUUCAUUGGAAAAUGAAAAAGAAAAAUAAAUUGUAAAAAAUAAUAAAAUGACUAUUUAAUAUUGUUUAAUAUUGUUAUUUAAAUAAAUUUCGUUCUCUCGAAAGUUUGUUAGUUCGAAGAUUUGCUGUAACGAUGAUAAAAAAAUAUUUAUUUAGAAAGUAAGUAAAAAAAAAGCAUCGAGUAAAAAAAAGAUUGUAAUAACCUCGCGAUCGUUCUUUUUCGAAGUUAGAUUAUUGAAAACUAUAGAAUUCUAAUUACCGUAUGCUAGAGCAGCACAUUAUACAUUUUCCAAUAAAAUAUUGAAAAUGGAUUUCGAAGUCUUUAACGAUGAAGUAACGAAUUGUAACGAUUUAAUUAAAAGAUACGAAUUUGAAUCUUGUCCGUUGCUAUCACGUGCAACGAGAGAUUAUUUUAUUCAAUGAGAUGUAAACGUUUUCUUGAACAACCUUCACUCGAAUCCGAAUGGGUUAACGAGUAUUUAUAAGGCAUAAGCAAAGAGAUUUAUCUUAGGAAAACAUAAUAAUAAUCUCGAAACUGAGAUGUGUAUCAUACUGACAAUGUUGUAAAAUGUUAAUGGAUGAAAUAUUAAGGUUUAUGUUUCUAUAUUGUAAUAACAUUUAUGUAUAAUGGUUAUUAUAAUGCAAAAAAUAUACAUACUAGUUGUCCA
Molecule: RNA transcript, 21514 nt
Organism: Apis cerana (Asiatic honeybee)
Lineage: Eukaryota; Metazoa; Arthropoda; Insecta; Hymenoptera; Apidae
Gene name: polycomb group protein Pc
Source: RefSeq, a predicted model, not a curated record